This 944-nucleotide ribosomal RNA is filed under the name Mycolicibacterium fluoranthenivorans. RNAcentral's name for it is "bacterial SSU rRNA". It matches the Rfam family "Bacterial small subunit ribosomal RNA", at positions 460 to 1401 of the family's 1533-position model. Lineage: Bacteria; Bacillati; Actinomycetota; Actinomycetes; Mycobacteriales; Mycobacteriaceae. The record is from RNAcentral.
GAAGCGCAAGUGACGGUAUGUGCAGAAGAAGGACCGGCCAACUACGUGCCAGCAGCCGCGGUAAUACGUAGGGUCCGAGCGUUGUCCGGAAUUACUGGGCGUAAAGAGCUCGUAGGUGGUUUGUCGCGUUGUUCGUGAAAACUCACAGCUUAACUGUGGGCGUGCGGGCGAUACGGGCAGACUUGAGUACUGCAGGGGAGACUGGAAUUCCUGGUGUAGCGGUGGAAUGCGCAGAUAUCAGGAGGAACACCGGUGGCGAAGGCGGGUCUCUGGGCAGUAACUGACGCUGAGGAGCGAAAGCGUGGGGAGCGAACAGGAUUAGAUACCCUGGUAGUCCACGCCGUAAACGGUGGGUACUAGGUGUGGGUUUCCUUCCUUGGGAUCCGUGCCGUAGCUAACGCAUUAAGUCCCCCGCCUGGGGAGUACGGCCGCAAGGCUAAAACUCAAAGAAAUUGACGGGGGCCCGCACAAGCGGCGGAGCAUGUGGAUUAAUUCGAUGCAACGCGAAGAACCUUACCUGGGUUUGACAUGCACAGGACGCCAGUAGAGAUAUUGGUUCCCUUGUGGCCUGUGUGCAGGUGGUGCAUGGCUGUCGUCAGCUCGUGUCGUGAGAUGUUGGGUUAAGUCCCGCAACGAGCGCAACCCUUGUCCUAUGUUGCCAGCGGGUUAUGCCGGGGACUCGUAGGAGACUGCCGGGGUCAACUCGGAGGAAGGUGGGGAUGACGUCAAGUCAUCAUGCCCCUUAUGUCCAGGGCUUCACACAUGCUACAAUGGCCGGUACAAAGGGCUGCGAUGCCGUGAGGUGGAGCGAAUCCUUUCAAAGCCGGUCUCAGUUCGGAUCGGGGUCUGCAACUCGACCCCGUGAAGUCGGAGUCGCUAGUAAUCGCAGAUCAGCAACGCUGCGGUGAAGACGUUCCCGGGCCUUGUACACACCGCCCGUCUUU